RNAcentral lists this ribosomal RNA (1327 nucleotides) under uncultured bacterium. RNAcentral's name for it is "16S ribosomal RNA". It matches the Rfam family "Bacterial small subunit ribosomal RNA", at positions 36 to 1383 of the family's 1533-position model. The record is from RNAcentral.
CUGGCGGCGUGGAUAAGACAUGCAAGUCGAACGGGAGAAUUGCUAGCUUGCUAAUAAUUCUCUAGUGGCGCACGGGUGAGUAACACGUGAGUAACCUGCCCCCGAGAGCGGGAUAGCCCUGGGAAACUGGGAUUAAUACCGCAUAGUAUCGAAAGAUUAAAGCAGCAAUGCGCUUGGGGAUGGGCUCGCGGCCUAUUAGUUUAGUUGGUGAGGUAACGGCUCACCAAGGCGAUGACGGGUAGCCGGUCUGAGAGGAUGUCCGGCCACACUGGAACUGAGACACGGUCCAGACACCUACGGGUGGCAGCAGUCGAGAAUCAUUCACAAUGGGGGAAACCCUGAUGGUGCGACGCCGCGUGGGGGAAUGAAGGUCUUCGGAUUGUAAACCCCUGUCAUGUGGGAGCAAAUUAAAAAGAUAGUACCACAAGAGGAAGAGACGGCUAACUCUGUGCCAGCAGCCGCGGUAAUACAGAGGUCUCAAGCGUUGUUCGGAAUCACUGGACGUAAAGCGUGCGUAGGCUGUUUCGUAAGUCGUGUGUGAAAGGCGCGGGCUCAACCCGCGGACGGCACAUGAUACUGCGAGACUAGAGUAAUGGAGGGGGAACCGGAAUUCUCGGUGUAGCAGUGAAAUGCGUAGAUAUCGAGAGGAACACUCGUGGCGAAGGCGGGUUCCUGGACAUUAACUGACGCUGAGGCACGAAGGCCAGGGGAGCGAAAGGGAUUAGAUACCCCUGUAGUCCUGGCAGUAAACGGUGCACGCUUGGUGUGCGGGGAAUCGACCCCCUGCGUGCCGGAGCUAACGCGUUAAGCGUGCCGCCUGGGGAGUACGGUCGCAAGAUUAAAACUCAAAGAAAUUGACGGGGACCCGCACAAGCGGUGGAGUAUGUGGCUUAAUUCGAUGCAACGCGAAGAACCUUACCUGGGCUUGACAUGUAAUGAACAACAUGUGAAAGCAUGCGACUCUUCGGAGGCGUUACACAGGUGCUGCAUGGCCGUCGUCAGCUCGUGUCGUGAGAUGUUUGGUUAAGUCCAGCAACGAGCGCAACCCCUGUUGCCAGUUACCAGCACGUGAAGGUGGGGACUCUGGCGAGACUGCCCAGAUCAACUGGGAGGAAGGUGGGGACGACGUCAGGUCAGUAUGGCCCUUAUGCCCAGGGCUGCACACGUACUACAAUGCCCAGUACAGAGGGGGCCGAAGCCGCGAGGCGGAGGAAAUCCUAAAAACUGGGCCCAGUUCGGACUGUAGGCUGCAACCCGCCUACACGAAGCCGGAAUCGCUAGUAAUGGCGCAUCAGCUACGGCGCCGUGAAUACGUUCCCGGGUCUUG